RNAcentral lists this ribosomal RNA (301 nucleotides) under uncultured bacterium. RNAcentral's name for it is "partial 16S ribosomal RNA". It matches the Rfam family "Bacterial small subunit ribosomal RNA", at positions 509 to 807 of the family's 1533-position model. The record is from RNAcentral.
CAGUAGCCACGGUAAUACGUAGGUGGCAAGCGUUGUCCGGAAUUAUUGGGCGUAAAGGGCUCGCAGGCGGUUUCUUAAGUCUGAUGUGAAAGCCCCCGGCUCAACCGGGAAGGGUCAUUGGAAACUGGGAAGCUUGAGUGCAGAAGAGGAGAGUGGAAUUCCACGUGUAGCGGUGAAAUGCGUAGAGAUGUGGAGGAACACCAGUGGCGAAGGCGACUCUCUGGUCUGUAACUGACGCUGAGGAGCGAAAGCGUGGGGAGCGAACAGGAUUAGAUACCCCCGUAGUCCCUGUCUCUUAUAC